UUUUUUUUUCCUCCCAGGGAAUCGUUUUGCUCCUUCCUUCCACCCUCGCUUUAGGAUUCAUGAGGCAUCGACUUGCGUCCGCCUGUGUAGCAGCCAAUCACUAAUCAGCAUGCUCCUUAUUAACCCAACCGGCUGGUUCGGUAACUUUCUGCCUUUCAGCUUCUAAUAACGAUGACAACAUCCAACUACUCAGCCCCACUGCCAGCAUCAAGACACUACCCAGAAGCAGUAGCAAGAUAGCCAAACUGGGAUUUAUAUUCAGAACUAAUAUAUGCUCAAUCCCAAUAAUCCCUCCUUAAAUCCAGGUGGACCUUCCCAGAAGCCCGAUCCACCGGAUGCCUUAUCAUCAGUAGUUUCCAUGCAGGAAUUGGACCCUGUCCCAGCAGGGUAACAACCACAUAGUCAUGGGUAUGGCCAACAGAUGAUUGUGAUCAUAAGACUCACAAUCAUAGUCAUGGAUCAGAUCACAUGUUUGGAUCAGAAGGAAAAAAGAAAAACUAGCAGCAAAAAGUUGUUUUGCUGCUGGUACUAAUUGUCAUUGAUGAUCCAUUUGCGUGGAUAGAGAUCCUUUUUUCUCCUUUGGUUACAACAACUGGUCUAUGAAGUCAUAGUAAUAGUUGGAGGGUUCUCAUAAAAACAUGUUCAGAUGAUGUAAAAAAAAAAAUCAAACAUAUUUCUAUUUAUUAAAACAACAAAUGUUGUAAUUAGUUAUAUGAUUUUUUAUUAACUUUCACCUAAAACAAACUAUCAGUGACCAUUGUGUAACAUUAUCGGAGAUCAAAGACUAAAAUAGUGUAAACGAUAAAGAUCAGCAGAUAAGGAUGUCAGUAAAACCUAACUUUACACUGGGGUAGUUAACAUUAAACUGUGUAAUGACAUGAUCGGCUGCACCACGAACAAUGACUAAUUUAGACUUCCUUCCUGGGCACCACAGGAAGAAACCACAAUGUCGGCAAACAUAUACACGUUUUUACCAUCAAUGAGAAUUUGUUUUAUUGUUUACUGCAUUCUACGACACCACACAGCUGCUUCAAAAGAAUAGCUCGAGGUUUCGGCCGAUUGUACGGACGAUAGUAAGCAGAUGGCGUAAAGCUUUGACAACAACAUUUCUCAUUGAGCUUCUACCUACUUCUAACAAUGUUUAACAUUUCAUUUCACAUAUUUCCUUUAAGCAUUAAAAAAGCCUGAAUAUCUAACAGAGCAUUCUGAGCUUUGUUAGUAAUCACAGAUGUUGCUGUGUUGAGCUGCUCUGUGUUUUAAGGUCCACUGGUCUGGUUCAAAAUUGCUUUAAUGGCUCCGUUGCCUUAAUUGGAGCUGCGGACCAUUCUUGCAUGUGAUCUAGAACAGACGUUACUGGAAAUGAAAAUGAAUAAAUCAUUUCAUUAUAUGAAAAAAACAACAACAAAAAAAUAAUACUAAUAUUUGAGCAUACGCCACUAAUCUCUCAUGAACGCUCCCCCUAUGGGUCUCUGACUGCCAUAUCUGCUUAACUCUUUGCAACGUCCCUUUUGUGAAUUGACAGCCGGAACAAAGUUCACAGCUAAAUUAGCUCCCUGUGAGGCUUCAAGAUAGAGGAGCAUUAACGAAGCUGGUGGAGAACGAUGGGGAGGAAGAGAUUGGGAGGCGGCGUGCGUACAAAGAGGGCGAGCAAGCCGAAGUCGGUCGAGGAGAGGAUAAACCUGCUUGGAUUGAAACCCAGACAGAAAAAGGGAGAGCGCCGCGGGGGCACAAUAUUUGCCGUAUCGUAAUAGCGUCGCUGGGCUGACUGACAGGAAAGACACGAUGCUUUCCUGUGGGCGUCUGUGGGUGAGUGGGGAGCACGGUCGUCCUCCAAUCAGAGGGUUGUCGGUUCGAUCCCAGGCUUGGCUAACCCGCAUGUCGAUGUGUCCUUGGGCAAGACACUUAACCCAACAUUGCUCCUGUAGCUGCGACUACAGCGUAUGAAUGUUAGUUACUGAUGGGCAGGUGUCACUGUGUGUGGUUCUCGUGUCAUCAGCGUGUGAAUGGGUGUGAAUGGGUGAAUGAUGUCAUGUAGUGUUAAAGCGCUUUGAGUGGUCAGAAGACUAGAAAAGCGCUAUACAAGUACAGUCCAUUUACCAUUUACGAGGGAUGCUUGCGCCCUAACUCGACCUGCUCCUGCUCCUACUUCACGGUAAGCGAUAGUCCCAAAUCCCAGAGCCUGCAGGCCGUCGGGGUGGAUUAGCGAUCCUUCUCUCAAGUUAUUCUCUCUGCUUCGCUCCACAGUGGGGGGUUUUUACCUGCAAGAUGGGAUGAAAGGAGCUUCUGUGGAACCAGACACCUCUCACCCGCCGCAUCUUAUAGUCCCGGGUGCUUGUGCUCUCCACGCCGGGGGGCUUGGGUCUCUCGCCGCCCCCAUGUUGAGUCCCAGCUGACCUGGCCUGUCUCACGGGAUCCACCUCAUGAGUUCCACCCCUCUUUACCUUACCCCCGCCGCCUUUCACUUUCUGACUAACCAGUUGACGUCAACUCUAGCGAGGUGGAGUUUUUGAGUUUCUGUUGUUACCAUUGGCAUUAUUUUUUAUUACGGUUAACUAGUUCCUCCAAAUAUUGGGAGAAACAGGAAGACCCGUCGAUGCCUCAAAGGAUGAAACCAUUUAUAGCCAUAUAUUUCUGUUGAUCACACACACACACACACACACGUAGACAUUUGCUCGCUCCCUCUACACACCCAUCAUGAAUCAGAGGAGUCUUGCCUGAGACCCUGUAAGCUGGAGAUCUCCCCUGGCAGGGAAGGAUUUCACCUCUGGCUGACUUGUACAUAUUUAACUUCCCACAUGAGGGGAUCUGGUUUGAAAUACGGUCUUCUACAUUCACUGGAAGCACAAAGUAGAAUCAGAGGAUUGAAAAGUUUGAAACAUGAUUUGAUGUGAAAUUCUAGUUCAAAUGAAUAGCGCUUAAAAAAGUCGAGGCGGUGUUUGGCUCGGAGCUUAAUCUCUGGAUGUUUCAUAUUCAUUCUUGGAAAGAAAACAAUUAACUGAAGUGGAUCAUUUAGCAUAGCAAGUGGAUCUAGGACAAGGCUGUAAACAUUAUUGAUGUUGACAAGAGACUACAAUUGCAGCUGUUCUUUAAAAUAUGCCGUGUGUAAUUUAUUUUACGUAUGUGCUUUUAGAACUGAGUAGGUGUUUUCAAAUGAUGUCUAAUUUUGAAGAACGAUAACAAAAAAACCUCAACUGUCAGCCAUUUGUCUUGGGUGGUGCGAGGACUGUUGGCGCCUGGGGAAAUAUUACAACAUCUACAGUACGUGUCGGGACUUCAAAAACAGGAAUUCCUCUGAUAUAAAGUGGAUGUGUCAGCACCAAUGUCACAGGAAAAAUAAUAGUUUUGUCACCUUUGAAUUUCUUAAAAAUGAAGGAUGGAGAAUAGCUUCUAUAGCAUGUGGAUGUUGUUUAUGUUUGACCACUGUGUCUCUGCUUACUUUUGUCCUGUAAUUCUAAAUCCUUUAUCUCUAUACAAAUCUCUUUUUAUUUAACAUUGUUAAAUUGUCUGUGUGCACAUUCUACUUCCCGAAUCUUAAUUCUGAUUGACAUCUUUACAUUUAGUAGACCUUUAUUCAUACUUUUGUGUACCCUCCUGUUCUAUUCUGCUACAAUUUGCGCCUGGUAGCAUUUUACAGUUAAUAAAAACAUGUUAGAUAUUUACCCGUUAUCUUGACAAAUUCAGGAAUACAAAUGCAACUAGCAGUCGGAUUCACUUGAUUCCAAUCUACUAAAAUUGCUUUAUCGCUGUUAGAUAAAUAAACACAGAUGCUUGACAUGAGAACCUUUCAAGUGAGUCAAGAUGCAAAUUCCCUCCUUUAGUUUAAGAUGUUAUUGUGAAACAUCCACACAAUGUGUCGGGUGGCACUUGCAGAAUCUUUAAUAAAACUGAAAGGUAGAAGGAAUUGAAAUGAAAUAUGCAUAAAAUUUGUUUAAAGAAAUACUUUUCUUCAAAAAUAGAUGAGUACAAUAUGACUAUUGUUGUACUGGUGGAUUUAAGCAUUAUGCUGAAUUUAGCCUGUGAGAAAAUGUUUUACAGCUAAUGGCUCACUUUUUGUUCUUGUCACCUGGUACUGACCAGUGACCAGUCUUAAUUUGUUCAUACCAGUAGCUGGGUUUCUGUACCCAGUGAUUUGGAGACGUGUGAACCUAGCGGCUCCCACACUGUUGGUCUGGCCGCCCUUCUGCAAAUCCAAUCGCAUGGCUUCCCUGAAACAGAACUUCAUACAUACAUUUUAUACGGCAAAGCCUCAAAUGUGCUUUAGAGCUCAAUUUCAACGUAGUUUCACCACGACUGAAGCAAUUUAACCUCGGUGUCGCACUCACAGCCAAAAAUGUGCAAGGCCUGAAACGGCGUUCCCUCGCUGAUAAACACACACUUGUGUUUGGUUAUGUUUAGUCAUGAUUUAUUGCACACUCCAUAAACAGGCGAUUCAAUGAGCCCAAAAUAUUACAAACACUGUCAGGAUUGUGUAAGAGCGAACUCUUUGACACACGCACACGAGGGCAUGCGCACACCCGCACGCACUAGAAGUAGACGCACGCUCCCAUGUACCAUUUCCUGUGCAUGAGACACACGGCCACAGUCAAUGAUGCCACGCUGCCGGCGCACUAAGAUCAAUCGAUAUGGAACACAAUGCAGCGCGUACUGUAUUUAUCAUGCGCACAUUUUUGUGUGGGACAUUGACUAAAACAAGUACACGUGUGUCAGAGUAUCAGUCCGUCAAUACAAACCAUUAACAUGGCAAAAGGAUGACGGGGGUGAGAUGAGGUCACCGUCUGCCCUUUAAUAAGAGCAGUCAUCGGAGGGUCAAUCUGCUUACCGCCCGAAUGAAGUUAUGGCCAUGAGUGAUGAAGGCGAUGUUGGAAAUGAUCCUGGGAGGAGGGGGGGGGGGGUAUCAGGGUCGGCCUGCUGUCGCUACUACGAUGCUGCUGCAGGCAGUUCAUGGACGCAAAGACGUACUGUUGGAUUUAUAGUUUUGUAGCACAGACCACACAUUCACAGACAUUAUAUCAGAAAAGUCCACUGUUUGAGAGUCCAAAUUCAUCAAGAAAAUACAGUAAUUUCCCCUUAAAGAAGAACAUGAAAAAUACAGGCAUUAUUCAAAUGCAUUAAUUUAUUCAUUUUCAUUAUUUAUGCACAUAGCAUGGACCACUACUCAGUGGAGAUGUAGGAUGCUGAACGUCUUUAAUCACAGUGGAGAUUAAAAAAUGAGAAUAAAGUAAAUUAAACAGCACUCCACUGUGUUGCUUCAACUCUCGAUAUGAAUUGCUUGAGUGUGAAAGUAGAAAACCGACAUGGUGUUGCGUGUUUCUCCAAUUGGACGCCGUGUCGAGUCUUUAUCAAACAAGAGAAAGACACAUACACUUUCUACAAAAAUCAUAAUAUUCCCCAUAGGGUUUGUGUGUGUGAGGAAUGAGGUAAGAGGCUGCUGUGCUGCGGACUGAGACGGAGGGCAUUAGUCAGAUUUGACCAACAAAGGGGCUGUGAGCACACAGCCAGGGGAUUAGACCAACACCACAGACUUUCAUUAGUCUACAGAGGGGAAGAGGAAAAGAAAGAGCAACAGAAAGGUGGAGGCAAGGAGACACUGGAUUACAAAGAUAGCGGAGGGGAAGGGGGGGGGACUUCCAUUAGUGGAGGGUGAGAGGGAAAUCUAAAGAUGCAGGAUGAGCGGUGAGAUACGGAGGAAUGAAGCGAGGGAGACACUGAGAACACUCCACCACUGGAUUAGUCCAAUAACAGGGACUUUCAUUAAAUACAGGAGAUGGAUGGAGAGGGGAAAUAACAAGGGUCAGAGGGAGAAGCAAAUAAAAUGGGGGGGGGGGGUGCAGGGCAUGGAAAGGGAGAGAAAGUAAUAGAGGGGGAAGAUUAAAAAAAAGGGACAAAAGGGGAGGAACAGGCAGAGAGGGGACAAAACGCAAACAUGGUGAAAGACAAAGCCAAAAGAAGUGGAGAAAGGGGCAAAGAAAACAGAAAGAAUCGGGGGGGUGGCAGUGGUGUAGAACAACAAGUAAAGAGGAUUAAACCCCCCACUGCACCUCCAGCACACACACACACACACACACACACACAGACACACACACACACACACACACACAGACACAGACACAGACAGACACACAGACAGACACACACAGGUCCUGGGAAGAAGGCUGGCGUGCCAAACUAAUUAGCUACUAACUCAACCACAGCUCACACAGGCGAACUGCAUCAUUUACAAUAGAGACCCAGGCCGGGUCCCAGAGGUGUGUGUGUGUGUGUGUGUGUGCGUGUGUGCAGGCUGCAAAUCCAUAUCAUUAUGUUUGUACGGCUGUGACCGUGUGCGGUUGUAUCCGUGUGUGCGAACACUUUCAAUAAGACCAUGACGAAUUAAACUUCGCCACUCGGCGAGACCAACCGGGCAAUUUCUUAUAUUACUUUUUGAGCCUAAUUUCCAACAGCUGCAGCAGCGCUCUCAUAAAAUUCAUGGCAUAAUUGUUUUGGAUGAAUGAAUAAUUACAAGGUCAAUAAAAGGUCGGAGCAUGGAGAAAAGUCUGUUUUCCAGGGACCAAAAAGGGAAAUCGUCAAGUGCUCAUUUGUCCAAGGAACAGGCCAACGUCACAGAACUACUUAUUUUUUUAGAGCAGAAGUAAUCAAUUACCUUAAUAAAGAGCUGUAAUGGCAUAAUCAUGACAUUAAAAGUGUCAUCAUUCUACAGUAGAAUCUGACAUUUUGAAAGAAGGGAUCAUUGAAUAUCAAUACUUCAAUACGCCAAACAAUGGCUUGAUGGUUGUGUCUCAUUGAGCAGAGUCGUCCUUUCACGACAAAGUUAGCGGUUAUAUAUUAUAACCCGCCCCGGCUCCUUCUGUCCGCGGGUAAAAGGGUCUUUGAGCAAAUCACACAACCAUUAGUUUCUCACAAAAAAUGGUUGAGACGGGAUGAGUAUCUGUUUCCAUUCAUUCUCAUACAUCAGAACAUUUAAAAAUCAUAUUUCAUUUACAGCUAUUUUUUUCAACCAGAUGACAACAUCUGCAUCCGAUUGCUCCAAUCUCAAGCUCCAAUUGGCCGACAUAUUCUGGUCAGUUUCAUACUCACUUCAAUCCUUUCCUUUUUUCCCCUUUAGGCAGUGAAAUAUCCUAUCGAUGAAGUGGCAUCUGAUUUGAGGCGCUCAAUGAGAAUUGUGACGCGCGCAUCAACUUACACACAAUAGACCUAUUUCACACACGAGAUCGUGAGGAGAUAUCAGAGUACAAUAUGAACUAUAAAUUGACUUUGAACACACUAUUGAGCAUGUAGUUUACAAUUCCUCUUUCCUGUCCGCAUAUAAAAAUAAACCUUAUCUGAACCUCGCAUCAUAGUUCGACUAACAUGUUUGAUUACCCGAACCGUCUUGUGGAUUUACAACUUUAUAACAAAGGCCUAAGUGGGAAAGAAGGACACCGUUUCAAUGAACCCGAUUUAAUUCAUCGCAGCAGAGUGAGACAGUCGCCCACUGAUGAGUCACAACACGUUGCUCCUUAAUACCUCCUCUUGCUUGAGUAGCACUGACAAAGCUGUCAGUGUAUAUCGCAAAAUUCUAUAACAGAUUGUCAGCGAACAAGAGGAGCACAUCAUUAGGUUGGCUUUCCAUUCAGUUUCUUUCCUUCAAACGGCCUUUUUAGUGAAACAAGGGACAACACAUUCUCACCCAAAUGCCUCAAAUACAGUAAUUCAAACUACGCUCCAUGCUGUGGCUCCCCACUUAAACCUGCAGAUGUGGACACGUCAUGGGCGGCGUGUCAGUCCACGCUUGACGUUGGCCCAACUACCACUGCGGGUGGGGAGUUAAAGCUAAAGACGUAGCACGAGAGAAGGAUGAGGCGCUUUCCUCACCGCACACCUUUUCAACAUUCACGAGUACAAUUCAGAAACAAACCUUCUUCACAAACGGUGUAACCGUGUCAAGGCUUUUAAUUCUACUGCAGUGAACCUUUCAAUGUGUCCAACUUGCAUACGCAACAAAAUUAUAUUUGCUGCAUUGCAACAGUCGUCUACGACACCGGCCUCUAUGUUUCUCUCUUUCAUGGCCCUUUGUUGUUAUGGUAAGUAAUUGACUUCAUGUCAAAGGUUGUAAAUCCCAUUCGAACCAGCAGUGUUUUGCAUAAAAAAAACAACUAUCCCCCAGCUUCAAGAUCAUUCACAGAAAACACAACGCAGAAUCAACAGCAUUGCGUCUGUAGUCUAAUUUUUCAGGUCAGGACGUGUUCAGAUCAGAGUGAACACGUCCAUCUAAUGAUGUUGACUAGAUUGUCUUCAGCGAUUUCAUGAGGUGACGGCUGACUUUCACAAAAUGUCAUCUGAUCCCGAGUAGAAACUCCUGCUGACAAUCGUUCACGCAUGCUUUGUCAGGAUGGCGCGCUGAGCUCACAGCCCUCGGGUAUCAGCGCCAGAACAGAUGCUGUCUUUUGUGGCGUGUCAUCAAAGUAAAUUGUUCCCAUUAGUCAGACUAUAUUUUGCUUUUAAUUACAUUUUUUUUCCAUGGUGCUGAUAGGUUACAUGUAACGAUCUUGGCCUGGGGAACCAAAUAAACCACAGCAAAGAUUACGCUGUAUUCCAUGAACAUUAAUUGGAGGAAAAAUCCCCUUAUGUCAAGUUGUUAAAAUAAUUUACCAGCCAGAGAGUAAUUGACUGACUGAUAUUAUUAACUACAUAAAGUACAAAUGUUGAGUUAAACUUAAGUUAAUGAAUCCAAAUAACACAAUAAUGAAACUAAUUAGCCUAUUUGGGGAUUGUUUUCAGUUUGCCGAAAGCACCACCGAGCAGACAAAAUGGGACUUUAAUUCAAAACUUCUUUGUUUGUUUUUCAUUGUUUGGAGCACACCUUUCAUCCACUGUGCAUGUGAUGCCAAGGUAACGUAGCAGUGCACUACUGUUCUGAGGAUCUGAAUGCACCGCCAGAUGUUGCCUUUGUCAUAAUGUGUUUUUAAUCACCAUUCCUAAAGUCAGAUGCCAGCAGGCAGCUUCCAAUCCGCCUUGCAUCACUUGCUUCCCCUCAUCUCUCCUUAACAGCUGAGAGGGCUACGGGCAUCAAUCAUUGUUAACUAGCCGCACUGUCAAACAUUUCCUACACCAACUUCUGGGACCCCAAAGUCGCGUGUGAGCAACAGGGACACGAGGGACUUUACCCAGUAUACAGUAAUAAAUACAGUACAUGUAUACUGCACUUAAACAGUCAGUUCACAAUCUUUGGUUUUCUCCUUUUCAGGCAGCAUCACAGGCUUUUAAUCUGGACUUCUCGGGUUCUUGUAGUGUGCAUUUGAUGGGUGCUUUGCAGGAUCCAUAUGGCAUUCUGUUGAGCGAGAGUCCAUUAUAGCAGACGAAGCAGUCUCUGUUAUCUCUCUUUCCUUUUGUCUUUUAAACAUGGGGCUGGAACUACAAAGAGAUGCCGUGUUAUUUCAAUCAUACGGAGCGUCAUCAGACCGAUCCUUGGUAAUAUACAAUCGCACAUAGAGGGCAGUCGAGAAUACCAACUGGAUUCCAGUCAUUUGAGGAGGCAUCUCGUUCUUCAAGGUACACAUAGCAAAGCCUGACGGUGCCCUGGUGGCUGUACUAUAUGUGUGGAGAAGAAAAAAUUCAACAAAUAGAUACACUAGAUAGUUAAAGGUCAUAUAGCGUACGCGCUGCAGGGUACCGCCUUUAAUGGUAUUCUUGAUCGGUUUAAUCAACAUAACACCGCAAGUGGGUGUUGCACUUGAUAGAUUAGUCUGGGAAACAGGCAGAUGUUGCAAAAAGAUAAACAUAUGGAGACAUCCAUAUAAACAUUAAACCACUGUGAUGGUCUUAUAGGUAUAAUCAACCUCCAAGGAGAUCAAAAUGUCCCUAAAAAGACAAAUACUGACCAAAACAUGUCCCUGCAGCUCUCAUCUCGGCUCUCUCUUUGGUUCACAUCCUCUGCUGGACACUUGUUCAAUGAUUUUCCCAUUCUAGUCGAUAUCCAUUCAAUACAGUCUUCCAUGGACUUUCUUUCUCACAGCAAUGCUAUUGACUUGAACCCAGAAAAGCAUUUUCUUCCUCUCUCUUUCAUAAGAUUCUCUGCUUUUGGGACCAUACAAUGGUUCUUGUAAUUCCUUCUGAGCUUUUUCUGCAAAAGAAUGUUUUAUUCACUAAAUGACCAUUUGAAUGUCUAUCACUCACUGCAUGAUACGUUGAAAAAUUUAAAGCUUUGUUCUUCUCGCACACUUCCACGUUUGAAUGUAGAAUUUUAGAAGUCGUGAUGAGCUGAAGUAAAACCAUAUCAAGACAUCUGCUCACACACCUCGCGCCGUUUAAUCAUAUUCCCAUUUAUCCCACUGAAUGUAUACAAAUGGCAUUCCUUAAAGUCCAAAAUUAAGAAUUGAAUCUUUUUUGACCAAUCAUAGGUUUUGUGUAUUAAACUAUGCGUUACAUUUUGUUAAUCAUUGAAAAUAUCGAUGACUAUCGCGGAGGAGAUGAAAUAGUGUGUGGACGGCUGAAUUCACAGGUGAAACGGUUCUCGAGAUUCUAAUUGCUGCCAGUUUUAAUUGAAUAGAAUAAGAAAGAUGCAAACCAUAUGUGUGAACUCUUUAAUGUUUGCCGGUUUUCCUCUUUCUGCUACAUGUGCACUGCCACUAAUUGGGCUAAAGUCAUUUGAAGAAGCUGCCUAUGCUUUCCUAAAACACUCAACCACUGUGGAAAGUGCUGGUUACUAUCGGAAAAGAACGGCUUUAGAAAAGUACCUUUUGUCCAUGGGGAGUUGGUAGGUGCGUUUUGGUGAAGUAAACUUCUUGGUAGUAGCUUAGAACACAAGCUCUAGACGGGGGCCCUGUAAGACCCGUCAUCUUCCAACAAGGCUCAUUUCACGGUGCCACCACCACGACACCAACCAACAAACCCACCCCCCCACCCACCCUCGUCUCCCGGAGUCCCUCUGAUCAGGGACACGCGUGAUCUCCGGCACCCUGUGUGCGCCGCGAGAACCACCCGAUUGUGUUCUCCCUUCUUCCCAUUCUCUCAUCUGUGUUAAUUACUGUAACAAUGUCCCACUUACCACCCCUUCUCUUCUCUCACUUUGUCCUCCCUCCUUCCCUCUGCUUCUCUUCACAUUUCUGGCAUAGUGCUCCGGUAUUUUUUCUUACCCCCCCCCUCCCCUUCACUGGCCUGUUCAAAGGUAAGAGGCCGUCGGCAGAACUUCAGUGGGAGAACUACACGACGAUCAGACAUGUCAGCACCUCCAUCGCACAUACACACACGUGCGUCAGCACAUCAAGCACACGUGCACAUGCACGCAUGCACAUGUCAGCACCUACAACUCUCGCAGAGAAACACACACACACACACACACACCAAGGUCCACAUGUCAUUAGGGAGGUCCACAUGGCUCAAAUAAAAGCCUGUCCAGCAGGAAGGGAGCAGGGCAAAGAGGAAGGAGGGAGGAGGGGGGGAGUGCCAGAAGCAGAGAUGGAGACAGGGUGGGAGAAGGUGGAGGUGAAGAAGGAAUCAUGCAAGCGGCGAGGGAGGUAAGGACAGAGAGGAGGCAAAAAGUCAGAGAGAUGAGAAGGGAUGUACAAAGCAGGAGGGUUUACUAGCCACCUCAGUGUUCCUCCUAGCCACCUCAGGGUUCCUACUAGCCACAUCAGUGUUCCUACUAGCCACCUUAAGGUUCCUCCUAGCCACCUCAGUGUUUCUACUACCCACCUUAAGGUUCCUAAUAGCCACCUUAAGGUUCCUAAUAGCCACCUCAGGGUUCCUACUACCCACCUUAAGGUUCCUAAUAGCCACCUUAAGGUUCCUAAUAGCCACCUUAAGGUUCCUACUAGCCACAUCAGUGUUCCUACUAGCCACCUUAAGGUUCCUACUAGCCACCUCAGGAUUCCUACUACCCACCUUAAGGUUCCUACUAGCCAUAUCAGUGUUCCUACUAGCCACCUCAGUGUUCCUACUACCAACCUUAAGGUUCCUACUUGCCACCUCAGGGUUCCUACUACCCACCUUAAGGUUCCUACUUGCCACCUCAGUGUUCCUACUAGCCACCUUAAGGUUCCUACUUGCCACCACAGGGUUCCUACUUCCCACCUUACGGUUCCUUUGGCCAUUACUGAAGUCACGCUGUGUGUGACUGAGUGAGUGUGUGUUCACUAAAUCACUUCUUCCUGUUCAGCUCUGUGCCUGUUUUUAAUGGCACUGCUCCAACACCAUUUAACAUAUACUACCUGUGGUCAAGCUGAUUUCCUUCCUCCUUUCCUUUCUUUCUUCCAUCCUCACACCCUUCAGUUGCUUGUCAUCCCUUCAUUAUUUUCACUUUCUCACACAAGCUUCCUUUGCUCACUUGUUAUCAUGAUCCUUCUCGUCCCCAUGAUCCACUUUCUGUUUCCAACUAAGUUUCUGCUCCAAAGUUGCAUGACUAGUUGGAGACAGAGGGACAAAUGUAAGUCAUUUAAGAGAUGGAAGGGAAGUUGAAGAGAAGAUAAGUGAAUAGGAAGGAGGAAGGAGGAGUUUUUGGUUAGAUGGAGAUUAUAAAGAGAUGCGGAGAGGGAGAAAUCAUGGCAUGAGAAGGCAGAGAGAGAGACAGAGGGGAGCAGAAAUGGCCUGGAGAGUGAAAGCAAUAAUAUAGAGGAAGAGGGGGUGGUGGAUCACAGGGAGACAAAAACUAUAGGAGAGUGGAGUGCUGAUAACACAAAGAGCAGAGAAAGCGAAGGGUUGGGAUAGAAAAAAAAAAAGGCAGCGACGAGAGGAGAGGCUGAGUAGGAGAAGAGUCUAUAGUCGGAUCAAUGGAUGCCCUGUCCUCUGCAAUGUCUCUGCAUUUCCUCCGGCUUACACAAUAAGGCCCUCUCACUGCACCAGGGAGAGAGUGUGUGGGGGUGUGUGUGUGUGUAUAAGUGCAUGUGUGUGGAAAGAAGGGAAUGACAUUCAGGGGGGGGAUAUGACCCCUUUGAACCCUAGUCUUUUCUUAAUAUUAGAGGUCAAUGGUCGGUGUUCUGACGGAUAUUUAACUCGCUGGUUGCUCACAGGGCACCGUGGACGGGCAUUUGAUCCCUAGAGGAGGCCUCUCUCUCCGUCUGCGUGAAUGCGCAUUGGUUUUUAUCUGAUGACGGUGUGUUAAAGUGUGUUACCAAUGCUGUAUGGACUUAACACUGCUGUUUUGCCUUCAACUUCUGGGACAUGGAACGGGACCCAGCCAGAACAUAAAAUAAAAAAAAGUGCGUAAUGAAAAUUUUGUGAACGUUCCAAUUAGUUCUGAUUAAUAAAUCAUUAAGCUAUAUUAAAGUAGUAAAAGAAAUCCGCUGCGGAUGUUGAUCCAACCAACUACAGAAAAUACAAAGUACCUGAAAAAUAACUGCGUUAAUUGACCAACCAUUUCCGUACUAAUGGAUAGGAAGCUAAAUGGAUGCAGAGAUGAAGAUUAAGAUUCUGCUUGAGUGAGAACACAACUGCAAUUUGGAGGACUUAAUGAGCAACAGCAAUCUCUGCACACUGUGACAAACACUGGAAAGGAGGCCAGAGUGGGCCAAACGCAUUAUAAACAGGAGUAAUGCAGCCUCAGCAUGUAUAGUGUAGGUGUGUCAAUAAUACCAUAUCAGCUCUUUGCUUCCCCCUCCCGUCAAGAUUAACUGGUAAUUGAUUGGUGAGCGAUGCUGCCCCUUUUGUACAUUACUUCAAAGUGUUGGAGUUUGUCCUAAAUGUAUAAAAUAGACUGAAGAAGAGUAAUACUUAAUAUUCUUUCUCUCUCUCUUACCCUCUUCCCUCUCUCUAUUACGUUCUCCCUCUCCACUCUCUCCUGGGUGUCCUGUUCUUCUCCUCUCUCUUUCUCGCUCUAACCUCAGCCAGGCCUUCAGUGAUGCUUUCAGUUUAUUUUUAGAGACAAGUGAUUUGCCCAGCGGACCGACGGCAGACUGCUCGCAGGUUACAAGGGCACGAUGGAGCAAGGCCACAGUGUGCCCUUAGACCUGUACUAAAGGGGGGGUUUCAGCUCACCAGGGCGUGUGUGUUUGUGUGUAAGGGGGGAAAGAGAAGGCGAGACGGGGUGAGACAGUGGCUGACGAGGCCUGUGCAUGUGUGUCCUCCAGCAGCCAUGAUGCAUUAGUGUAACCUGAUGCCUCUCCUCCCCUGUGAGCCCUAACCUUGAGACAAACAGAGAGAUGGAUGCAGGUUGCAGAGCCAUGUUCUGUUGUAAAUGAGGCUGUUGGUCUUCAUAACUAGAUGUGUCUAAUCCUAGACAGGCAUGUAAGACUGAUAGUGCUGUUAGGUAUGAGAAGGGCUGGUUGCAGUGAUCUGCUAUUAUUCCAUUUCUGAGCCUUUUUUUCCUGGUAUAUAAUAAAACAAGUGAGCGUUGAGCGGUGUCAUCUCAUUUUAUCAUUUAAUCUUUAUAUAACGAUUUCAAAUUCAAUUUACUUUAUUUACCAAAGGAAAACAGAUAUGUCAAAUGUUGUGCUAAGUCAUUAAAAUAAGCCAAAAAGGUAAAACAUUGGCGAAAUGUGGAUCUAAAAGAUUCGAUAAAAAAUGUUUAGAAAGAAAAUUAGAUUUUCUUUGCGUUUGAUACGGUUUCAGAUACGGCUCAUAGUUUAUAAUAUACAUAUACACAAUUUAACAAGUGCUGCAUUUGACACACAGACAUUUAAGGGUUUAAUCAAUGCGCAAUUGAAAGGAUUACCUUUAUUUAUUGUGCACUUUUUAAAGCAGAGCACCCAAAACCAACCCUGGCAUUGUCCUUUCAGGAAAAUAUGGGCUAUGCCCAAACUUAAAACAUGUGGGUUUUCAUAAUUUUUGCACCCAUCAUACGAAAUUAUCAUUACCUGUUUGGACCCCUGCACAGUGACUCGCCAACCAGCAUGAGAAAACCAUUCUGUAAAUUCUGUAUUCAAGGCAUAAAAAGCCUAUCACCCUUUACCGAUCACGCUACAAACCAGAUGAAGCAUUAGUGGGAGAAGAGAUGUUUCGUUCCAUCCCUUUGCUUCACUGUGAAAAACGGUGUUAUGCCUCGGAGUCAUUUCUUUUAUGAAGGAACCUACAGGGUCAUUAUGGGCCCAAGUAUAAGGAAACUCACAAUUGAAAUUCUUCAUCUGGAAUACAUUUAUUAAUAAUGGGGUAUUAUUCUCCAUCCUAUUCCCCUACAUUAAAUAAUACUAUUCCCAGGGCCCAUUAAGAAACUUAAUCAUCGGGGGGUGAAAUAUAUUGCGGAAAGAUGAUUACAGCUGAUGAUAUUCACAGAUAAGUCAAAGAUGAUCACAAGAUGUGGUCUUUUCUUUCUAGUUCUUUCCCCCUUUUCUUUUACUUGCACGGGUUUCUUCGGCACCCGACAGGUUCCUGUCUUACUGCGAUCUGUCUUCUCAGAAGAAGAAAGAGAAGACGAUAAAAAGAUGUGAUACGGGAAUUUGAAAAAGAAAAAAGACAAAAAGGUAUAAAAAUAGCCAUCCGUGAGGCAGAAGUGUAAAUCAUUCACAGACGUACCGGCGUAGGGUCAUCAAGGUUUAAAUAUUCAUUAUGGGUGUCAAGGCAAGGCUUUUAGAUCUUGUGGGAUACAGUUUCGUUUGCCCCCCUCAUUUCAUGUUUAUGUCAACUGAAUUAUGCAUCAAGACCAAUGUUAUAAAUACUCUUAGUUUUGUUUUUUUGUGCUGGAGCUUCUGCAUGAAACAAACACGGCCAGAGAUCAAACUUUGAAUCCCACUGGAGUCGAAAGAAGUUAAAGUGUGUGGACUCGGGGCGCAGUGAGGCUCGCUGGGAGAAAACAUGCUCUGAACAGCCGAUAUUCAUUCUCUAUUACUGCAUGCGCAGGGAAUACGAAGAAGUACACAUGCGGGCAUUUGCAUCCUGCACGCUGCACAGCGAUUGGCUGUCUGGCACUUCAACAGGACACCUGACAUUUUGAUGGACACAUUUUGAAGGAUCAAAUUUGUGAGUUUUUGGCAACGGGACAAUUUCUCUCUUGAAUCUAACAAGUUGAAGCUCUCUUCCUCGGAGCCCAGCAGUCACUUUUGAGACCGUUUUGUUAUAUUUGAAAUAUAUUGUACAUCUUGCAUGUUUUGGCCUCUUUAAAGUGCAAGCUUUUAAUUAGCGGCACAUCUCGCCAAACCCUCGACUACUCCUUUAAGUCCAACUCCCUACUUUAUGAUAGCGUAAUCAUUUUGAAUUCUAAUUGAAUACACGUGAUGAACAAGUCACAGCGCACGCCGUACCACUGCUGCCCUCCAAUGCAAAACAACGCGAGCCCGGUAGCCCCCCGUGUGCUCUACAUGAAUGUGUCUCCAUACCCUUGUGGAGAACCCAGAGAGGGAGCCAAAACGUAACGUGUAUCUUGUUUCUCAUCCCAUUAUAAUGUUAAGUUCCCCCUCUCUUUAGCUGUAACAAGUACUGCGCUCCCUGUAGACCAGCAGCUUCCCUUUUCCUCACCUCCUCUUUCCCUGUCUUCAUUUUCUUUCCACCUGCAUUAUAUCUUCACCCUCUCUGUUUUUCCCGUCUCCCUUGCAUCGGUUAAUUUAUCACCAGCCAAAUCUGCUCUCCGUUUCCAUCUCCAUACAUUUCCUGUGGCUGCCCUUCUUCCCAGCCACCUCACCCCCUCUUUCCCUUUGUCUCUUCCUCUUCCUCUUCCCUUUCUCUAUUACGUUCUCGUUCACCACUCUCUUCUGGGUGCCCCCCCCCUCUCUCUCUCUCUCUGUGUCUCUGGGAGUAGCAGACCUCCUGACGGCUUAGUAUUGAUCCUUCAAUCUCCCUCACAUGCUCCCUCUCCCUCCGCCUCGCACACAUACACGUGCAUUAGGGUGACAAGAUAAAAGGGUUUGUAUGCCCCAAGGCACAGGCAGCUAAACAUGAGACCAGAGGCUCUCAGCCUGCAGGACAUGUAUGAAAAACAGAGACCCUUAAGAAACCCAAGGCUUUUUCCAAAUCUCUGACAGGAAACCGUUGGUAAAUUACCAUUAGAUUUAUUUACAACAAGCUUAUUUUAUCUGCAAGUCGAGCCCGGAUCUUGCUGGAACAACAUAAAUCUUGUAGAAUUGCGAUGUUGGAAACAUUUUUCAGCGGGUGCCUCAGAGAGCUUAAGGCAACCAGCACGCUCCAGCCUCCGUGAAGGAAUAUUUCCAGAUAAUAAUGUUAUUUAUAAUCUUUGCCCCGGGGUGGGGUGUACUUGACUCAAACUGAAAUAAGUUCCUUGUUUUUCUAUAAAGAGCUGUUCAAGCAAAGCUGAAGAUUGUGUUUAGGGGGUCAGUCGGUAAUACAUUUAAAAAUGAAUUGGAAGUGAUAAAGUUGCUUCUGUUUGCAUGAUCUUCACUCGGAGUCUAGUUCCGAAUGGCUUACGUUGAAAAGGUACGCAAAGCGUGGAGGGAAUCAAAUUAAAACAGGGAGGCAAAGCCGCCUUGUAGCGGAGCCGCACAACUUUUAGAGUUGAAGACAAAUGGUAAAAGUUUACCCGAGUUUUAUGUUCUGCUGAAUACAGUUAAGAACACAUUCAUUACUUUUACUUCACUCCUCCAGGAUUGAGGAAUAAAUUUGUUUAUGCAAUGUAUUUAUUUUCUCCGAAAUGAGGUGAUGGAUGCAAAGAGUAUCCGUAUUGAAACCGAUAUCACUGAGGAUAUUGGUUACAAUACUAAAACAACUAUGAAUUUAAACAAACAAAAUAAAUAGUGUAAACUCAAUAAAUAUAUAAAAGCAUUACAAGUUAUUAUGUUGCAACCAAAUUGUCUCUUGAAAUCGGUUUACUCUCAUUCCAGCUGCAAUGCUCAGAAUAUGUGUAUGGAGCUUUUGUUCGAAGCACCAGAGUGACCAUAGCAGAUGGGAAUACAACUCCUCGCCAUGGCGACUGCGCUCCAAAAACUAACAAGGGCUUGUCAGGAAUCAAUACCUGGCAUGAAAAACGAUGUGACUUUCAGCUGCUGUGGCCACAUCAAUCAAGCCAUUACCAUUAGCUCAUCUCUCGACACCGACUUGGACUUCUCUCCGCUGCCCCUCCCAUCCACUCUGCGCUCCUAUGUCACCGUUUUCCCCUCCUCCCCCCCUUGCCUCUCCCCCCCUUCCCUCUCCCCCUGCCAGCUCAGCGGAUGCCCCUUGUCGCAGCUCCUAUUUCAGCCUUCUGAAGUUUCAUAAUUGAUCGCAAUUAGAGCUGCUACAGAGAGAAAGAGAGAGAGAGGGGCAGGCAAACAGAAACUGAGAGAGAAAGUCUGUUUGUGUGUGUGUGUGUGUGUGUGUGUGUGUGUGUGUGUGUGUGUGUGUGUGUGUGUCUAUAACAGAGAGAAAGAGAGAGAGGGAUUAAAAUCAAUGAGCCUGUUUUGAGAGUGGUUAUAUUAGCAACUGCACUAGAUCUGACCAGAGACUGUAGAGGUAAUAACACUGCGAUGGGGGGAGCGACAAGACAAAGAGAGCCACAGAGGAACGGUGAGUCACUGCUGACGGGAGGAAGUCAAGUGACACUAAAUAAAAAUUAAAAAAACAUUGAAAGACACACUGGAUAUUAUAGGGGAACCUCCUGAUUGAGGAACAAAUCGGUUGUUUUUAGUUCUCAGUCGACUCCGUGUUUGGUGCUUGGUGGUCAAGGAGAGGGACACGUGGUUUCACAGAUUUCCAGUGAAGCUUCUGUGUGAUUGUAAGAGAUACUCAAGGUUCACAGAUCUGUCGAUUUAAAUCAGCUAAUUGAUUAGUCAACAAACUGUUAGCCGGCUGAGGAGGACUUUGGUGGAGGACAGCCCUCAAUAUGAGACACAAAUAGAAGGCGGAACCUGACUUACUUACAUUAGAAAUAAAAAAGUGAAUGAAUGAUAUUUUUUUCAUUCUUGGAUGUAUGUUUAUAGACAUGUAUGUUUAACAAACAAUAUACCUGAAAAGAAGAAAAAAAAAUUGUCUCCAUGAACACAAAAUUUGACCAAACCUGACAAGACAGAUUCUUGUCACUGCGCUGAUUAAUAUUUUCGGCACUGAACGAUUACAAUCCAAAGCUACUUUAGGAUUUAAAACAGCACCGCCGUUACAUUAGCAGCAACUACCGAGCUGGAUGCCGCAGUAGUUAGUAGCGUAGUUGUAUCAUAGAUUAGUAUAAGAUAAGUAUCUGGUCAGUUUCUACAACCCAAAUAAGGAUCCGGGGCAAAAACCCCAGAUUCCCCAACUUGGCGUGACGUGAAGCACGUGUGACUCUUGAGAGCAAGUAGAAGGAAAAAAAAAAGAAAACCUUUCCCAACAGGGAGUUGACAUAGAGGGGGAAAAAAUCAAGAUAGGGAUAAGUUGGGAUCAAAUUAACAGAGUGAUUUCAGUGACAAACAUAGCCGAGUGAGAGAGCCACAGAGUGGAGGAUUUGUAAUAGAGAGAUAGAGUGGCAGAAUAACAAAGAGGAAGAAUAACAAUGGUGCCAAAGCCUCUUCCAUCCUCCUUGCAAACGUCCCUGAUCUCCCUCUUUUCUCUCAUUUAAAUUCCUCUCCAUUGUCAUUGCAAUCCGGGCCUAACCCCCCACCGCCUGGCAAAUACACACACACGCGCGCGAGCGCAAACACACACUUAAGAGCGCACACGCAUUGACCUCCGGCAACAACCGGGGCCGUCCCGAGGAGCCGAGCUCACACAUCUUGGCUAAUCAAUGCGCACACAUGCUGGACACUCACAAUGUUCGCAGGAAAAGACACAGUAGAAUCAAGUGCAGUCCCCUCGGACCAGCGGGCUUGGGUCAGCGUGACCUCGCCGUGCUCACACGGGUGUGGAAUAGCAAGGACUUGUCACCAGUCCCGUGUCAAACACAAGGCCAACGCAACGCUCUCUGCUGCUUUGUCAACAUGCGCCGUCGAUACAGCCGGCCUGACUUCUACUCCUUAGUUCCUAUUCCCUGGUCAGCGGCGCUUAAGACGCCAGAACGCCGGCUUGUCAGCAUCUGUAUCUGACAGAGCAGACAUUCUGCUCUUAACAGCAGCAACAGGAAAAAGAAUAAUGUCUUGUCAGCGUGAUCGGGACACGGCUGGGUUAAUACAAUUCCUCGACUUAUCCCCCUUGUCAGCCAUUCUAGGUCACAGCGAAUGGCAACCGGCGCCGUGUAUGUAGAUUUGCCUUGUCAAUGUGCAUAGCAACGUGUAGACUCAACAACGCCCGGGAAUAUGCGAGAGCGGCCUAAAGGAUGCCCAGUGUGCACAGUCAAGACAACACUGAGGUUGUAUUGUGCUUUGCUCUCACUCGUGUCAGCAAUGCUCGGUCAGACAUGGUAAUCAGUGGUCCUCAUUCUGUCCUGGUUGUGGAACACACUACAUGCUUGUGGUGUCUCGGCAUUUCAAAUAUAAGAAAUGUAGUGAUUGUUUUAAAUAUGAGUGAAAUUCUACAAUUCUCCCAAACAAACUUGAUACCAAAAGGUACAAAACAGGAUCAAAAACUCCAUAUAUUUGAAUGCAAACAUAUCAAUCAUUCACGAAAUGAACAAAUAACGAGGUUGUUAUUUAGCUUUUCCAAAGGUUUAGGAAAUAGACCUUGGACGCAUCACAAUUCAACCUCUGUUUCUUAGCCGUUGGCUCUUUUAUGUGACCAAGUAGCACCUUGCCGCUCACCUGCUGCUAAGCGCUAACGUAGCUCUCCUCCUGCAGGAUUUCAACACGCAUGUCUUGUUAUACAUUGAGAAACGAGUGUCUUCACAUUUUCAGGAUCUCAUCCUCAGUCUUUCAGACUUAAGUAUCCGCCGUGGCGGACGGCUCCAUACCGACCUCCUACUUUUCGGCAUUCCUUGUUCUGACCGCACGCCUACAAUCUACAACCAUGGCCUUGAUUUUGAUCUCAGCGACAUACCUAUAAUGUUUCACACACACUCAUAAAUCAUCUUUUUUUUUAAAUGCGUUGUACUGCAAUAACUUCAUGUUUAAAAAAAUCUCUCUGAGCUGAAGUAGUUUUCUUUCACUAUUAUCUCAUUUACUUUUCAAAAGUGGGUUAUGUCAAAAAAAAAGAAAAUCCUAGUAACAGCUGCCUCAGUCUGACGAUGGCUAUUAAACUGUUAAGGGCUAAAUUAAAGAUGAGAUAAUUCAAAAAGGAACAAAAACAUAUCCUGCUGUUUAACAACAUGAGUGACAUUUAGGGUGAUAUUAAAUCCAUUACCAUGAACUGUCUCUAAGGUGUAAUAUACAGAAAAGGCUUAAAAACAACUUGUCAUAAUUGUAAAAAAAGGAAAAUCGAUCCAUCCCAAACUGCCUUUGCAAAGUAAAUCAGGCACAUGUAGAGGGUACAAAUCAGUGGGGAUAUAAUCCUAAAUAGCCAAGUGUGGUCAGGGUUGUGUGUGUGUGUGUGUGUGUGUGUGUGUGUGUGUGUGUGUGUGUGCCGUGGGAGAGGCGGAGAGAGACGGGGUGUGUGGGUGUUAAGGAGAUUCUGGCGACAAGGCGAACCCCAGGGAUCAAAAAACACACAGUCUCCCAUUACUGACGACCCCACACGCAGACACGCUGUGCAAGUGUACAUGACAUGGUGGUGUCUACUAAGCAAUUUGCCGACACGAAUGCCAACAGAGGCCCGACGGCAGGACGAGUGGUAGAGUGCGACAAGGAAAGAUAAAAGAAAGGCUGUCAUCGUCCCGGGUUAUCUUACAGGUGCAUCACUUCAUGGAGGAUUCUCUGAACCCAUCUGAUCGGGGUUCAAAUCUGGGAUCUGUUGUCAUUUCAAUUAGUUCAUUUGACCUCGGGAGUUAAACAACAUUGAGUUCAGAGCGGCGGAACCACUUCGUUCUCGUCCUUCACCACCUCCGAAAGCCUCACACGGACACAAAGAGCGAAUGCAGUGUAAACUACAUUUUAGCUCACUCUGUACUCUCCAUUUAAAACGAUGCAUCCAAGAGUGAUGCGCAAAUAAAAAAAGAGUCGGAUCAAAAGGGCUGAAUAGUCAAUAAAAACUAUUUUAGGUGCUCGAGGCAAACAAAUGAAUAAUGUUGAAUCUUUGAUAGACUCUACAGAGUCUCAGUCCCUUGAGUCUUCCCUCUUUCUUAUUUAACGUUUUUCCGAAUCUCAUUAGUUUGUUUAUACUGCUUAAGCGGUAUGACAUACGCUUUGCUUGCUGCGAGGCCAACGUCCUGACGGGGGAGAAUAAAUUCUAGAGGAAAAAAAACUGUGCAUUACACCUGUUUGUCAGUAGAAGCCCGAGGCUUCGGCAGGCGUGUGUCCUCGUUUUAGAUCCCCAAACCAGCUCGUGUUGGGGACGUCUGUUCUGGCUGGGGGGGAGCAAAUGAGUAAUGCCCUUCCCUCCCUCAUCGGCAAUAAAAGUUGCCCUAGAAGCAAGGCCCUUAACCCCAGAUUCCCGCGGUGCAGCUGCUGAGCCAGCAACAAUUUGCAUUCGCUAAUUCUGCGUGCAUACAUCAUCCGUCAUUCAUGUUUAAAAGAAAGACCUUUAAGGACCGGACGCAGACAUUUUAUUUAGUGGGAGGCAUUAAACCGUAGCUUCAGGUCUGUGUGCGUUAAUAAAAGUGUGUAUACAUACCAUUAGUGUUCAAAGCAUUGCGGCACGCAUGGACUUCCCUGUAUGUAACCCUAGAGUCCUGAGCUGUCAGCGUGAAUGCAUGGCCGCGCCCUCCGUGGAAUCUGGAUAUCGCUCUACGUGUGUGUCUGCUGCAUCUGCCCAUGUCCUGUACCGUUGUGGCUGUGUACACUUUUGUGACACGUGCGUCUCCUGCGUGCCCACAUGUCUGAGGUUUCCCCUCCACGAGCGCCGACAUGUGUGCGUCCCGCUGGCGUUUCUGGACAGAGGAAUUCUAUCCGCCUCCACAGAGUCCUUUCAUCGCCCGCCACACACACACACACACACACACACACACACUGCUGCUGACAUGGGCAUGUCACCACGGCAACCAGAUAUGGCCGGAGACGUGCUACUGACAGAGAAGCAGACCACCAUACUGGUGGGCCACAGGUUCUCGUCGGGGGGGGUUCAGGUCGGCCGGCAGGGUUGGCAGCAUGUGAAUUUUCCAACAGUAUUCUUAAAUUCAAACGCAUCACCUGAGUAUUGAGAAUCUCAGUUCUGAUUCAAAAGGACAGAAAUGUGAUUUCAUACACUGCCUGCCUUGUUCCCAAAUAUUCACAACAGCUUGCACGGCAUUGAGGCUUCUCACACAUAUGGCUACCAUUAUUGAUUUGGCAGAGGGAGUCCCCUUUCAUGUGAUGGCAAAACAAGCCUACAAUAUUGUACAAAUUCACCGCUUUAAUGUUUUAGCAGGGGAAGUAGAGUUAUGUCUAUCAACACGGAAAAUAAAAUGGGUUUCAUGCCCUCCUAAAUUCUGAGAAGAGUACUCAGCACGGAUAAAAGCAGCACAUGAGGUCUGAAUACAACGAGAGAGAAACUGAGAGGAUGAAAAACUAUUGAGUUACAGCAGGGUUUUUUUUUUAUGGAGCAAAGAGAUACAGGCGGUCUUGUGUUCUUACCUUGGACAAGACGAAACGUCAGCGUGAUCUUCCUCGUCACCCUGUCAAAGACAAACAACAGUUAGUCAGGGCAGAAGAUUAAACAGUCAAAAAAGGAGUUUUAUUUUUCCAAAGUGACUAUUGCUUUUCUUUUUAGAUAUCUGCCCCGGUUGUUGCGACCAGACAGCGACCUAUGUUUUUAAAGAGGGAUGCCAAUGUGGAAGCGCCUUAAGCAUUCAAACUAAUGUCCAUCGUUUUCUCCUCUGGUUGCAAAAAGAAGUCUGAAUGCAUAGGAGCCGAAGAGAAAAUGACACCACAUUUCACUUGAUUUAUUACCUCAAUAAACAUUGUGAACAUGACGUCUCAUUCAGUGGUUUACUUAGUUAAUGACGGCCCCAUUUAGACUAAGUGGGACCAUAAAGCCGGGUUGGCCUGAGGGCGUGGCUAACUUGUGAUUGGCAGGUUGCUACCACGGCUUUUUCCAAUAUGGGAGACGUCUGUGUUUUUGACUUUCAACUCCUUCAUUGAAUGUUCAUGGUUUUAGUAAUGAUAUUUUUAUAGUCUUAUAGAAGGCUCGGUUUUAGUCGCCCGCUCAUGUCACUUAUGGUUGCAAAAGAUGCUGACCGCCCAAAUGUGAAACUGAGGCCCUUACAAACCAACGGCUGUUGUUACGGCAACCAUUUCCAAUUUUUAUAGAUGCUUUACGUUGUGUCCCCAUUGAGAAAGAUCAUCUCUGCUGAUAUUUUCAGCAUAAUUCAAAAGCCACAGUAAUAAACUUUAACUGGUUCAAAUUGGUGAUUCUAAAGAGAUACUACUCUGCUUACAAAAAUCUAAAUGUAAUGAACUCCUAAGGUUCGAUCCACACCCGCUUCCCCAGCCUCAUCCAAUAAGCAAUAUUUCUUCAAUCAACAUACCUCUCCCUUUUAUUUUAUACCCCAUUCUAUAAUGGUGUUCAUUUAUUCAGCAAUGUGGAAGUCGGAACAUAAAAUGCAGCCUUAUCUACUCGGUGCAUUGGUUCCUCCAUGGCUCCCUCCUUCCACCUGGUUUCCCUUCUCUCCCCCUGCCCAUCAGUCGGCAGGCGGGGACAGGUGAGCCUAUUACACGCUUUUUCACACACUGUCUAUUACACACAGUCAUAGGUUCACGCACAAAACCCCAACUAGCUCGACUUCAUGGCAAGUUACAUUUGCACGCACAUCACCCGAAGCUGCCGUGCUGUAAAGCGCCUGUUACCACAGCCGCGUCACGCUCACGAUGAAGUGAUCUAGUGGUGCGCAUAAAAGCUGCUAAAAGAAAGAAUUAGAUACCAGUGAAUGGAACAGGAGAAGAAGAACUGACUGCUAACGUUACGUGUGAUUUCGUCAACUUUUACAAUGAGUGGAACGCAAGGACAACAAGCAUGAGAGUGCUAUUAUUACGCUCACUUUCCCAAAGUAAAAAAUAUUCAUUCACAAAUACUUCAGGUCCAAACUAACUGACAACAAAUAGGAAGCAAACAGUCAGUCAGUACUGCUUUUCCCUACAAUAUACAAUUAAAAUUUAAUGAUUUACUUAAUAGAGAUUGAAAAAAAUUCCAUAGAUUUGCCUGUAAGAGGAGACGUUUCACCAGCCAUCUGAAGGUUUCGGUCAAAGGCCCAAAUGGUAACAAGUAUGUGCUCUCGGCUUAAAGUGAUGAUCAGCGAACCAGCAAACAACUCACCGUGCUGCAUUAACUACGGCGAGAGCAUUAAAAGGCAGAAAGUUUAUACAUUUUUUCCAUAUUCCCUCCUCCACCGUUUCGCCCUCUCCCUGCAUCCUGUCGUGUCUCCUUUCAUUUUCCACCAGAUAAAUCUGACCUCAGAAUGGUGGAUUUUUUUGGGGUUGUUUUAUAUUUUGUUCUUAUGCAGAGUCAGGGCAGCUUAUCUCAGUUUGUCAAGAGAGAGAGAGAGAGAGAGAGAGAGAAAGAAAGAGUGGUAUCACAUGAAACAUCACGGUUAAGAUGCUCACAUUCGGUCUCGGUCCCCCUUGCCGUUCUUGUGUAUUCGCCUUUCCAACUAUGUGCCUCUACGUCCUCCAGACCUUGACACCAGCUAUACUUUUCCAAUUCAGCAGUUCCUUAACUCUCUUGAUGACAACAGCGCCUUUAGCAGCAGCGCAGAGCACAUAAAUGAUCACAAUACUAAACAAAAAAGCAAAAAUAGUACCAAAGAAUAACCUUAACAGAAGCAGGCAAAUCAAAAAUAAAUCAUUAUUUAUGCGGAGAUCGGAGUGUACGAGAAAGAAACACCCGAGUAGUGAAUAAUGGGAAAGAGCUAAAUAUACAGUAGCUACUACAGAGAGAGGAAUUAAAUUAGAUGAGAUGUUAAUGCAAACAGUGAGUGGUAAUUACACACUCAGCAUGUGUCUUUCCAACACCCCCGCUCCCUAAAUCCUUAUCUGUAGACAUCCAAACGCCAUACGUAUCAUUACUUGAUAAUGUCAUCCGUCAUAACACUAUGUCAGCCCAGCGUGGAUGUUUUUUUGCUCUUCCUUGAUUCAUUUUACAAUCAUGGCUGUAGGCUACAUCUUGAUUCAGGAAACUCCACCCAACUGAACAUCUGUCUCAAUAACGUUUUCAGUAACCAGGGAGUUCAGUUUAUUUGACCCUUUCAAACUAGUGGUUGACAAUUUAAAAAUAUAUCCGCGGUUGGGCUUAAAAUGACGAUGAACAGAUGGAUCCACCAGCAUUAUCCAUCUGUAAUAUAUCUAAGAAAUUGUAUUGACCUAAUUGCGUUCCAAGCACACGUCUCACCUUUUUAACACUUUACAAACUUUUUACAAUUUAUCAAACAACACAAAUUGAGGUUCUCUAAGCAAGAUCCGAGGUUGGGAUCAUUGCUAUUGAUCCCAACGGCUCCCGACAUGGUGACGGCGAGCCACUGGCGACCAGCUAACGAUGGCAAAAGCGUCAAAGGGGGGAAACUACAGCAAAAGGACUGACGGAGCUAAUAGCGUUUACCAGUGGGGGGCCGGUUGCUACGCUUCCAUGCUAAUACUAGAUGCUAUUUUAGGGUUUCCCUUUAGUUAACAGCAUUGCAGGGGCGAUGAGGACGGACGUACCGACAGAGGGACAGAUGAAUGACGGGAGGGUCGGGGGGACGGGGGGGGCGUGGAGACAGACUGACUGACAUCAGUCCUUCCCCCAAUAGAAGGGCAGGGGAAACACUGCAUUAACAGACUUUUACCACCUUACAUGACCGUGUCCCACUGUUUUGUUAUGAAGCUCGUGUGUGGCAGUUCGCCAUGAGUCAGAAAAUCAACAGAUGUUAUUGAUGGGAUUGGAAUUUAUUUGUUUGUCUGUUGGUAGUCUGUCUUUAAAGCACAAAACAAGCUCCAUCCACCUGAUGGACAAAACAUGCAGUGAUUUCGGUCGUGCAAAACGGUACACGCCUCGUUGAAGGUCUGAACCGAAUGAGGGAUGACGAGACGCUAGCGCUUUAAAACAUGCCCUUGCACAAACAAACUAAAAAUAAAAAGGCAGAAAAUUAAAAGGUUACACCGGCAGGGGAACUACUAUAAAUCAGUGGGCUGAAAGGAGUCAUAGGAGCCACUGAACUGCACACGGCAUGAAAUCCAAUGAGAAUCCAGCCAGCAGCCUCCCAAUACCGCCCUUCUUCUCUGUUUCCCUGCCUGUUCUCUUUAAGCCACGGCUAUUCUUAGCGAGCAAGGGGAUCGGGUUAAGAAGAUGAAGGCUGAAAGAUCACGGAGAGACAGAGAAUUUAACUAAGAGCACAGUGACCGGCGAACCCGCUGACGACGGGUCAACCCGCCUGUUUAUUUGGAGAAUUUGUUCGCCGGCCAGAGUGAACAUUCAAUGGAAUACAUUAUCUUCAUGCAUCACAGCAGAAAUCUAACGGAGGAGAGAAAGUCUCUGAUAUAUAAUUAAAGAUUCAUUUCUUUUGUAAAAGUGCAGUUGAAUGAGGACAAAGUGGAAGAGGAAGCAGGUAAAGCCGAGGCAGAAUGUCAUAAAUAAGUAACUGUUUUGGCUAAAGACAGCACAUUAUCUGGCCCUUUUUAGUUGUUCAAGGGAAUAGCGGUUAUCUUGAAAUACCAUCUGAAUGGGGCCUGAGCAAAUAUCUGUUAAGUCACAACAGCGACCGAAGAAGUAAUACUAAAACAGUGGAAAGGAUUUGGCUUUUAGGAUGUCAGAGGUUAAGAGAGCAAAGCGGCGCCAGAGAGUUCAGACUGUAAGCCUCAUGAUCUGCUUCAUAACUGUCAUCUGACAUCACUACAGCAGAUGCUUUAUCUCAGAUCCUGUUCCCGAGGCCCAUUCUAAUGUAAUGGCCAUGGGUCUGUGUCACACUGUAAUGCAAUGAAAACAGAGAGGACAAAGGGGCAAUAGGCCGAGAUGGUUUGGCCCGGCCCACACCAUGAAGAUGGGGUUUGGGUGAGAAAGAUCCAAACCCGAAGACUGCAAUGUGCAUGUAGAGCAGGGCAGGAUCCCGCUGCAGGAAUAACAGCACGUUAUGUACGAAACCUUGUCCAAGUGUGUGUGACGGAGACGUGUGAAAGCCUCAUUAGGCGACACGUCUUUCCUGAGGCGGAGGCGUGCUUUUGAAAAAACAUUUUGUGUUUCCAACUCGGGUGUAGACUAGUUAAAGUGACACACUGCUGGAUGUGUACAGCAGUGUGUCACUUUAACUAGUCUACUGCUGUACACAUCACCCUGACUGCAUGUGUCACUUGUUAGCAGUUGAGAUCGACCUGCUGCAAAUGUUUCUCCUUUUCCUUCUUUGUAAUAGUCAGCAUGCUUAGUGUAGCUUAAUAUCUAAAUGGUUUUCCAUUCAUUGAUUGUCCAAAUAAAACCCUCAUUUGUGUCUUGGGUCAAUGUGACUGAACUAUGGGGCUUUACAGACACAACGGGAAGAGGUACCCUUUUAAAACUGUGUAUUAAUUGCUGGUGAAUACAAAAGAUUGGUUUAAACUAUUAUUUAACCAGUAUUUAAUCCCAGUGAGGAAAAAUGUGCCUAAAAAAAGUAAAGCAAAAAUAUUCAGAAUGUCAAGUGGACUUCAUCCGUAACUCUGAAAGACAAUAAUGUCCACAUUCGAAUCGUGAAGAUUGUUAUGAAAUAAAAAAUGUUAAGGGAGGAGGGUGUUGAUGCGUUAAUAUUCAUGGUGUGAAUUAUGAACCGUCGCCUCAACACGAGAAAAUAAAACUCUUUAAAUGGAGUUAUAUCUCUAUAUCUAUUUUUAUUGACUAUUCCGGCUCGUAUCUAAUUAUUAUAUCGUGCCUUUUUGAAAUGCCUGGAUAUAUACGGAUGAGGGAACUAAAUGAAGAAUGUCAAAAGUGGGACAAAAACAAUGUCAUUGUAAAAGCUAGGAGAGAAAACACCACAUGAUCGCAAGCAGAGAAAAAAAAUAACGAACCUUGAAGGCAGUGGGUCAGACGGAGAGAGAGUUAUAGCCCAGAGGGGGUCUCUGAAGAUACUCACUCCUCUCUUUAAAGAACGCUUCCACCUCUGCACCGCCAGAUGUAAAUGCAGCAAAAGCGGGAGGGAGGCAAGAACGGCGAGGGGAAGAAGAGAAACGUGCAGAAAGUGUUCUCUCCUGUGGCAGACUGGUAACAACUGUCUGACAUCCAUCUGGUUUCAGAUGGCAAUGCGAGGGCGAGAGGGAGAAAGGAGAGGAGGGAUACAAGGUUAAUGAAACAAAAGGCUUCAUUUAAUAGAUGGAGGAGGACGGCCGCUGACAGUUUGACAAAGAUGGUCAUAUUUAGUGAGAGAUGGAGAGAGAGAGAAGGGGGAGGUCUUGGGAGGGAUAAAUGUUGUGGGAGACGGAAGGAAGGAGGAGCGCUGAGAGCAUUUGACAAAGAUCGUUUCGCUUGAAAUGAGAGUAAAUGGGAAGGAUCGAGGCUGCGACUG
This is a long non-coding RNA of Gasterosteus aculeatus aculeatus (three-spined stickleback), 29173 nucleotides long. The record is from Ensembl. Lineage: Eukaryota; Metazoa; Chordata; Actinopteri; Perciformes; Gasterosteidae.